GAUGAACGCUGGCGGCGUGCCUAACACAUGCAAGUCGAACGAAAAGACCCGGAUCUUGCUCCUCUGACGUUAGCCGCGGGCGGGAGAGUAACGUGUGGAUCCCCUACCUAUAAGACUGGUAUAACUUCGGGAAACCGGUGCUAAUACGGGAUAAUAUAUUGAACCGCAUGGUUCAAUAGUUAAAGACGGUUUUGCUGUCACUUCUAGAUGUAUCCGCGCCGCAUUAGCUGGUUGGUAGGGUAACUGCUUCCCAAGGCAACGAUGCGUAGCCGACCGGUCAGGGGGAUCGGCGACAUUGGAAGUGAGACGCCGUCCUGAGGCCUACGGGAGGCAGCAGUAGCGAAGGGGGGGAAAUGGGGGGAAGCUUGACGGAGCGACGGCGCGUGGGUGAUGAAGGGCUUCGGAUCGGAAAACUGUGUUAGGAGUGAAGAACAAAUGUGGCAGGAGCUAUGCACGUCGUGACGGUACCUGAUCAGAAAGCAACGGCUAACUACGUG
RNAcentral lists this ribosomal RNA (497 nucleotides) under uncultured bacterium. RNAcentral describes it as "partial 16S ribosomal RNA". It matches the Rfam family "Bacterial small subunit ribosomal RNA", at positions 28 to 507 of the family's 1533-position model. The record is from RNAcentral.